This 406-nucleotide ribosomal RNA is filed under the name uncultured bacterium. RNAcentral's name for it is "bacterial SSU rRNA". It matches the Rfam family "Bacterial small subunit ribosomal RNA", at positions 976 to 1380 of the family's 1533-position model. The record is from RNAcentral.
UGGUCUUGACAUCCCGAGAAUCUGAGUGAAAGCUCAGAGUGCCUCUUUGAGGAGCUUGGUGACAGGUGCUGCAUGGCUGUCGUCAGCUCGUGUCGUGAGAUGUUGGGUUAAGUCCCGCAACGAGCGCAACCCUUAUCUUUAGUUGCCAUCAUUUAGUUGGGCACUCUAGAGAGACUGCCGGUGUCAAACCGGAGGAAGGUGGGGAUGACGUCAAGUCCUCAUGGCCUUUAUGAUCAGGGCUACACACGUACUACAAUGGUCGGUACAAAGGGCAGCGACAGGGCGACCUGUAGCGAAUCUCUUAAAGCCGGUCUCAGUCCGGAUUGGAGUCUGCAACUCGACUCCAUGAAGUUGGAAUCGCUAGUAAUCGUGGAUCAGCAUGCCACGGUGAAUACGUUCCCGGGCC